RNAcentral lists this ribosomal RNA (645 nucleotides) under uncultured bacterium. RNAcentral's name for it is "bacterial SSU rRNA". It matches the Rfam family "Bacterial small subunit ribosomal RNA", at positions 54 to 745 of the family's 1533-position model. The record is from RNAcentral.
CAUGCAAGUCGAACGCAGUAGCAAUACUGAGUGGCAAACGGGUGAGUAUAAUGUGGGAAUCUGCCUUUUGGUUUGGAAUAACACGGGGAAACUUGUGCUAAUACCGAAUAAGCCCUCACGGGGAAAGUUUUAACGCCGAAAGAUGAGCCUGCACUUGAUUAGCUAGUUGGUAAGGUAAAGGCUUACCAAGGCAACGAUCAAUAGCUGUUCUUAGAGGAAGACCAGCCACAUUGGGACUGAGACACGGCCCAGACUCCUACGGGAGGCAGCAGUGGGGAAUCUUGCACAAUGGGGGAAACCCUGAUGCAGCGAUGCCGCGUGAGUGAAGAAGGCCUUUGGGUUGUAAAACUCUUUCGUCGGGGAAGAAAAUGACUGUACCCGAAUAAGAAGGUCCGGCUAACUUCGUGCCAGCAGCCGCGGUAAUACGAAGGGACCUAGCGUAGUUCGGAAUUACUGGGCUUAAAGAGCUCGUAGGUGGUUAAAAAAGUUGAUGGUGAAAUCCCAAGGCUCAACCUUGGAACUGCCAUCAAAACUUUUUAGCUAGAGUGUGAUAGAGGUAAGUGGAAUUUCUAGUGUAGAGGUGAAAUUCGUAGAUAUUAGAAAGAACACCAAAUGCGAAGGCAACUUACUGGGUCACUACUGACA